Molecule: small RNA, 1133 nt
Filed under: Histoplasma capsulatum
Lineage: Eukaryota; Fungi; Ascomycota; Eurotiomycetes; Onygenales; Ajellomycetaceae
Also listed under: 1 other name
Description: hypothetical RNA
Source: RNAcentral
AGCUCACAGCUGCGUGGAGUAAGUUACAUUUACGGCAUUUACAUCCAGUGUCGUGACUUCAGUGCGGGGCAUUUCCAUAUGUACUAGAUAAGCUCCAUAUCUAUAGUGCAUACCGUGCUUUGUUUACCGCAUACGAAACCAGAGAACAAAUGUCAAGUAAUUUCCAACAUCUGGCACAAGAGCGCUAAGAUAUACAUAUACAUAUAGUUUAGGAGAGGAAAAAAAAAAAAAACAGAAACAAAAAUAACUACUCCUCGACAGAGCUCGGAAGGCAGCGAUGCUAUUUCCACCGUCGGAAGCUCAACCAACCUGAGAUCCCACGAUCCGCCGGAGCACCUACAUCAUGACACGAAACACCAGGAGAAAUUUUCUGGGCUAGUAGCUCAGAAGGAUGCUGCUGAGGAGCGAGAGGAGGAGAGACGAGAGGAGUCGAAGCCGGAAGAUCGCAGCUUUGCUUAUAGGAAGCCGGGUGCUGGAAACUUGCUGAAGGAGUUUUUGGGAAAGUAAGAAGCGUUUUCCGAGUGUAGGACUGUGCUAAGGGGGUUUGUUUUUUCCUUUCUUUCAGUCAUCUCUGCGUCGCGAGUGCUGAAGAAAGCGGUGAUAUCGAAGGAGGCCGGCAUGGAAUAAUGCGACUGUUGCAACGACGGAAAGAAGAUGUUGGCGAUGCAAUAACCAUUGUUUGAUGCUCUCUACCACCAAUUCAUGAUGUUGUUUUAAAAAGCUCUCUGCCACCCGAGUGUUCGGCCCAUUUUGAAUCUUGGGUUUUCAACUGGAUUGUUGGAUGACAGUGUAGGGAAACUUGAAGAGCGAGCUUUCGGUUCUCUUCUUCAAGCCAUAUCCGGAGUCAUUUUGUCGGCCUAGACUCGGUUCAUCUGACUCCGAACAGUCAGGGUAUUAUGAGUCCAGGACGAACAGGGGCAAGUGACAGUUCUGGUGGUCAGGGUUCCAGCUUAAAAACUUUGCGACAAGGAUGUGGUGUCAAGCAAUCACGCACACACCGACAUCGACGAAAUCGAAGACAUAAGUUAGUUGUAGCUAUGGUUGAAACUCGCACGGAGAGAGCCUCAGAAGCUCUUGACUUUGGGGACAUAAGUAAAGGUUGCCAAUUGGUCUAUCAUUCACAUCAUAUUCCG